This 460-nucleotide ribosomal RNA is filed under the name uncultured bacterium. RNAcentral's name for it is "partial 16S ribosomal RNA". It matches the Rfam family "Bacterial small subunit ribosomal RNA", at positions 338 to 795 of the family's 1533-position model. The record is from RNAcentral.
CCUACGGGAGGCAGCAGUGAGGAAUAUUGGUCAAUGGGCGCAAGCCUGAACCAGCCAAGUCGCGUGAGGGAUGACGGUCCUAUGGAUUGUAAACCUCUUUUGUCGGGGAGCAAGGCCCGCCACGUGUGGCGGGAAGGAGAGUACCCGAAGAAAAAGCAUCGGCUAACUCCGUGCCAGCAGCCGCGGUAAUACGGAGGAUGCGAGCGUUAUCCGGAUUUAUUGGGUUAAAAGGGUGCGUAGGCGGAAGGUUAAGUAAGCGGUAAAAUGUCGGUGCUCAACACCGGCCUGCCGUUGAAACUGGUCUUCUUGAGUGAGGGAGAAGUAUGCGGAAUGCGUGGUGUAGCGGUGAAAUGCAUAGAUAUCACGCAGAACUCCGAUUGCGAAGGCAGCAUACCGGCGCUCAACUGACGCUGAGGCACGAAAGCGUGGGGAUCGAACAGGAUUAGAUACCCGAGUAGUC